GCCUCCUGGCUUCCUCAGGACUUGGUCUGUGUCUCUGAAGACAGUUCUCUCCGUAUUUCCUCAACCUCUGUGAAUACAUAUGGUUGUCAACAAUCUAUUAGAAGGUCUUAGCUGUCGGAAUGGUGUGGUUAUCAAGGAAGACCACAGAAGCCCAGCUCAGCUCCCUUGGGGCAAAAAUUCACCCUACCCUGGGUGUGUAACAGCCAAGGAUGCCUCCAUUCAUCUUUCAGAAUGUCAACCUCUCACUUGAGUCUCAAAACAAACUGAAUUUUGAUGGACUUUGCACCAAUCACCACCACCACCACCAGAAGUGAGGAGAAGAAGUUGGUGGUGUUGCAAAACUAAAAAACGGGAUAAUUUUGUAUCUGUAUCCCAAAACAAUGACAGAAAGUGAUUAGAUGUUGAAAUGUUGGCUUUGUUUUAAAAAAUGAAACUAAAUGAAAUGUAAAUGGUUGAUUCCAAAUAGCAAAUAAGGAAAGAUGUGAUUAGAUGUUUGGGGUCCUGGUGAUUGAUCUUUGUGCCUCAUUGUUGACCUGCUUUAGGCCCUUAAUUUCUGCCUUGUACACUCUUUAGAGAUGGAUUUGUGACUGUGUGGUGCAGGCUGCUGUCCUCCAGAUUCUUUGCCUUCUUCUCCCUGGUGAAGGUAAAAUGCAGAAUAAAGCUGAUUGU
Molecule: long non-coding RNA, 669 nt
Filed under: Bos taurus (domestic cattle)
Lineage: Eukaryota; Metazoa; Chordata; Mammalia; Artiodactyla; Bovidae
Description: long non-coding RNA NONBTAT017958
Source: RNAcentral